Non-coding RNA from Filobasidium floriforme, 89 nucleotides. NCBI's taxonomy places the organism in Eukaryota, Fungi, Basidiomycota, Tremellomycetes, Filobasidiales, Filobasidiaceae. The record is from the annotation of a RefSeq genome assembly.
CUCGCUGUAGCUCAGUGGCAGAGCGAGGGACUGUAAUUGUACGAGCGUUUGGCAUCCCUCGGUCCUCUGUUCGAUCCAGAGUAGCGAGA